CCUACGGGAUGCUGCAGUGGGGAAUAUUGCGCAAUGGGCGAAAGCCUGACGCAGCGACGCCGCGUGAGGGAUGAAGGUCUUCGGAUCGUAAACCUCUGUCAGCAGGGAAGCACGGUCACUGUGCUAAUCAGCAGUGAAUUGACGGUACCUGCAAAGGAAGCACCGGCUAACUCCGUGCCAGCCGCCGCGGUAAUACGGAGGGUGCGAGCGUUAAUCGGAAUUACUGGGCGUAAAGCGCUCGUAGGCGGUAUGUCAAGUCAAGGGUGAAAUCCCCGCGCGCAACGUGGGAACUGCCUUUGAAACUGGCAAACUGGAGUGUGUGAGAGGAUAGUGGAAUUCGAGGUGUAGGAGUGAAAUCCGUAGAUAUCUGGAGGAACAUCAGUGGCGAAGGCGACUAUCUGGCACAUAACUGACGCUGAGGAGCGAAAGCGUGGGUAGCAAACAGGAUUAGAUACCCGAGUAGUC
This 465-nucleotide ribosomal RNA is filed under the name uncultured bacterium. Its description in RNAcentral is "partial 16S ribosomal RNA". It matches the Rfam family "Bacterial small subunit ribosomal RNA", at positions 338 to 795 of the family's 1533-position model. The record is from RNAcentral.